CCCCGCAACAAGUUCCACUACCCCACCGUCGACGCCGACCGCCUCUGGUCCCUCGGCCCCGACGGCAUCAAGGAUCCCGCCACAGCUUAUGACGGUAGCUCUGUCCUCUUGACCGGUAUCACCCCGCCUUGCUACUCCAAAAUUCACGGGCAGAAUAACUUCACCGACAGCCCCCGUUAUUAACCCCCUGUGGUUGAGGGAAUUCUUCCUUG
RNAcentral lists this long non-coding RNA (212 nucleotides) under Elaeis guineensis (African oil palm). Its description in RNAcentral is "long non-coding RNA (EGUI_LNC079391)". Lineage: Eukaryota; Viridiplantae; Streptophyta; Magnoliopsida; Arecales; Arecaceae. The record is from RNAcentral.